GACGAACGCUGGCGGCGUGCCUAAUACAUGCAAGUCGAACGCCGUUGAGAAAGGGUGAGUAACGCGUAGGUAACUGCCUCAUCGCGGGGGGUAACUAUUGGAAAAGAUAGCUAAUACCGCAUACUGUGAGAUGGACCGGCGUUGUAUUAGCUAGUUGGUGAGGUAAAGGGUCACCAAGGCGACGAGACAUAGCCGACCUGAGAGGGUGAUUGUCCACACUUGGACUGAGACACGGCCCAGACCCCUACGGGAGGAAGCAGUAGGGAAUCUUCGGAAAUGGACGGAAGUCGUAACGAGGAACGCCGGGUGAUUGAAUAAGGUUUUCGGAGCCUAAAGCAUUGGUGUUUGAGGAGCGGUAACUAAGCAGAAAGGGACGGCUAACUACGUGCCAGCAGCCGCGGUAAUUC
RNAcentral lists this ribosomal RNA (407 nucleotides) under uncultured bacterium. Its description in RNAcentral is "partial 16S ribosomal RNA". It matches the Rfam family "Bacterial small subunit ribosomal RNA", at positions 28 to 526 of the family's 1533-position model. The record is from RNAcentral.